RNAcentral lists this ribosomal RNA (525 nucleotides) under Triticum aestivum (bread wheat). RNAcentral describes it as "partial small subunit ribosomal RNA". Lineage: Eukaryota; Viridiplantae; Streptophyta; Magnoliopsida; Poales; Poaceae. The record is from RNAcentral.
AUGGCUGCAGCGAACGCUCCCUUCGCUCUCGUCAGCCGCCUCUCCCCGGCCGCGCGCCUGCCCAUCCGUGCCUGGAGAGCCGCGAGGCCGGCGCCGCUCUCGACCGGCGGGAGAACCCGCCCGCUCUUCGUGGCCUCCGCGGCGCAGGAGAAUAGGGACAACUCCGUCGACGUCCAAGUCAGCCAGGCCCAGAACGCCGGCAACCAGCAGGGCAAUGCAGUCCAGCGCCGCCCUCGUCGCGCUGGAUUUGACAUCUCCCCGUUCGGGCUAGUGGACCCGAUGUCGCCGAUGAGGACGAUGCGGCAGAUGCUGGACACGAUGGACCGGCUGUUCGACGACGCCGUGGGGUUCCCCACGGCGCGUCGCUCGCCAGCGGCGGCGAGCGAGACGCCGUGGAUGCCGUGGGACAUCAUGGAGGACGAGAAGGAGGUGAAGAUGCGGUUUGACAUGCCUGGGCUGUCGCGGGAGGAGGUGAGGGUGAUGGUGGAGGACGACGCGCUGGUCAUCCGCGGCGAGCACGGUUAG